AUACGGAGGGUGCAAGCGUUGUUCGGAAUCACUGGGCGUAAAGGGCGCGCAGGCGGUUUGGUAAGUCAGAUGUGAAAGCCCACGGCUCAACCGUGGAAGUGCAUUUGAAACUGCCAGACCUGAGUACCAGAGGGGAAAGUGGAAUUCCCGGUGUAGAGGUGAAAUUCGUAGAUAUCGGGAGGAAUACCGGUGGCGAAGGCGACUUUCUGGCUGGAUACUGACGCUGAGGCGCGAAAGCGUGGGGAGCAAACAGGAUUAGAAACCCCAGUAGUCC
Molecule: ribosomal RNA, 274 nt
Filed under: uncultured bacterium
Lineage: Bacteria
Description: partial 16S ribosomal RNA
Rfam family: Bacterial small subunit ribosomal RNA
Source: RNAcentral